UACAGAGGGUGCAAGCGUUGCUCGGAAUUAUUGGGCGUAAAGGGUAGGUAGGUGGUCUCAUUUGUGUGGGGUGAAAGCCUUGGGCUUAACUCAAGAAGUGCCCCGCAAACGGUGAGACUGGAGUACUGGAGAGGCUAGCGGAAUUCCCGGUGUAGCGGUGAAAUGCGUAGAUAUCGAGAGGAACACCUGCGGCGAAGGCGGGUUGCUGGGCCGACACUGACGCUGAUGCGCGAAAGCCAGGGGAGCGAACGGG
RNAcentral lists this ribosomal RNA (253 nucleotides) under uncultured bacterium. RNAcentral describes it as "partial 16S ribosomal RNA". It matches the Rfam family "Bacterial small subunit ribosomal RNA", at positions 524 to 776 of the family's 1533-position model. The record is from RNAcentral.